AGUAAAGUCAGCUAAUAAAGCUCUUGGGCCCAUACCCCAAAAAUGUUGGUCAAACCCCUCCUUUACUAAUGAACCCCUACAUUAUAUCCAUCUUAAUGUGCAAUUUAGCCCUUGGAGCAAUCAUCACAGCUGCCAGCUAUCAUUGAUUUCUAGCCUGAAUCGGAUUAGAACAAAACACCCUUGCCAUCAUUCCAAUCCUAGCUAAACACCACCACCCACGAGCCACCGAAGCCGCAACAAAAUACUUUAUUAUUCAAGCAACUGCUUCAUCCAUUAUUUUAUUUUCAAGUAUUAUUAAUGCAUGAUACACCGGAACCUGAGAUAUUACUCAACUUACAACACAGCCAACCCCUACCAUACUAUUAAUUGCCCUAACCAUAAAGCUAGGCCUAGCUCCCAUGCACUUCUGAUUACCAGAAGUUAUACAAGGCACUGACACCACAACAGCCUUCAUCAUUGCAACAUGACAAAAAUUACCACCAAUAUCACUACUUUACCUUACCUCUGAUCAAUUUUCAAUAAUACUUCUAUCACUAUUAGCCAUCUCCUCCACCUUAAUUGGGGGAUGAUCCGGACUUAAUCAAACCCAGCCACAAAAAAUUAUAGCAUUUUCAUCAAUUGGACAUCUAGGGUGAAUAAUCUCAAUCUCACUUAUUUCCCAAAAACUUCUUCUCCUUACUUUAAUAAUUUACUUAUUAAUAACAACUUCAAUAUUUAUAAUUCUUAUUAUCUCAACAACCAAAACUACCAAAGAUUUAGGAACAAUAUGAACAAUUUCCCCGACACUUUCCACAAUUACAAUGAUUACUCUUAUAGCACUAGGAGGACUUACCCCCAUUAACCGGCUUUAUUCCCAAAUGACUAAUUCUAAAAGAAUUAACCACUAACUCCCUAUUACCACUAGCAACUGCCCUCGCACUAUCUUCCCUAUUAAGCCUAAUAUUUUAUAUACGUCUAACUUAUGUUUCAACCCUAACCAUUUCUCCAAAUACAUCCAACAAUCCAAUAAAAUGACGAUUUAAACCCACCAAACCAAUUAACCCUGCCCCCAUAAUUAUUAGCAUGCUUCUAUUAAUCCCAAUCACACCACUAAUUUACACUU
This is a non-coding RNA of Podarcis lilfordi (Lilford's wall lizard), 1102 nucleotides long. The record is from the annotation of a GenBank genome assembly. Lineage: Eukaryota; Metazoa; Chordata; Lepidosauria; Squamata; Lacertidae.